This 383-nucleotide ribosomal RNA is filed under the name uncultured eukaryote. RNAcentral describes it as "partial 18S ribosomal RNA". It matches the Rfam family "Eukaryotic small subunit ribosomal RNA", at positions 592 to 976 of the family's 1831-position model. The record is from RNAcentral.
CAAUAGCGUAUAUUAAAGUUGUUGCAGUUAAAAAGCUCGUAGUUGGAUUUCUGGUAGGAGCGACCAUACCGGACUUGAUUGUCCGCGUAAUGCGUUGUCUCCAGCCAUCCUCGUGGAGAUUGUUUUUGGCAUUAACUUGUCGAAUUCGGGACCCGCGUCAUUUACUGUGAAAAAAUUAGAGUGUUUAAAGCAGGCAAUUGGCUUGAAUACAUUGGCAUGGAAUAAUAAGAUAGGACUUUGGUGCUAUUUUGUUGGUUUGCACAUCAAGGUAAUGAUUAACAGAAUCAGUCGGGGAUAUUCGUAUGCAAAUGUCAGAGGUGAAAUUCUUGGAUUUUUUACAGACGAACAACUGCGAAAGCAUUUAUCAAGGAUGUUUUCAUUAA